AACGAACGCUGGCGGCGUGGAUAAGACAUGCAAGUCGAGCGAUCAUCAUCGGGUAGCAAUAUUCGGUGGUGGGAGCGGCGCAAGGGUGCGUAACACGUGGGUAAUCUGCCAUGAAGUUUGGGAUAAUCCCGCGAAAGCGGGACUAAUACCGGAUGUGACAACCAGGAGGCCUCCUUUGGUUGUUAAAGUUGGGGACCGUAAGGCCUGACGCUUCAUGAUGAGCCCGCGGCCUAUCAGCUAGUUGGUGAGGUAACGGCUCACCAAGGCUAAGACGGGUAGCUGGUCUGAGAGGACGACCAGCCACACUGGAACUGAGACACGGUCCAGACACCUACGGGUGGCAGCAGUCGAGAAUUUUUCACAAUGGGCGCAAGCCUGAUGGAGCGACGCCGCGUGGGGGAUGAAUGGCUUCGGCCCGUAAACCCCUGUCAUUUGCGAUCAAACCUUGCUAUUUAAAAGAUGGCGAGCUGAUAGUAGCGAAAGAGGAAGGGACGGCUAAC
Molecule: ribosomal RNA, 500 nt
Filed under: uncultured bacterium
Lineage: Bacteria
Description: bacterial SSU rRNA
Rfam family: Bacterial small subunit ribosomal RNA
Source: RNAcentral